UAUAGUAUUCAAAGUUCUCUGGGGCAAACAUGAGGCCAAUGGCAGCCAAUGACAAAGCUACAAAUAAACACAAUAGAAAACAAAUAAAAAUCAAGCACAGGGGUUUCACAUUCCAAACCAUGCUCUCCUAUCUUAACGAGUUCCUCUCCCCAGACUCUCUCUUGCGUGUCUUUGUGGUAGGUACAGCUGUGUUGUGAGUGCCAACUCACUGACAAUGACUG
Molecule: long non-coding RNA, 221 nt
Organism: Xenia sp. Carnegie-2017
Lineage: Eukaryota; Metazoa; Cnidaria; Anthozoa; Malacalcyonacea; Xeniidae
Exons: 3
Source: RefSeq, a predicted model, not a curated record